ACCUGGUUGAUCCUGCCAGUAGUCAUAUGCUUGUCUCAAAGAUUAAGCCAUGCAUGUCUAAGUAUAAGCGAGUAUACUGUGAAACUGCGAAUGGCUCAUUAAAUCAGUUAUGGUUUAUUUGAUGGUACCUUACUACGUGGAUACCCGUAGUAAUUCUAGAGCUAAUACAUGCAGGAGUUCGUGCGCGGCUCGUCCGCGCGCGAUGUAUUUAUUAGAUAAGAGACCAACCCGCCUCGUGCGGUUGCGUGCCGAGUCAUAAUAACUGUUCGAAUCGCAUGGCUCUGACGCCGGCGAUGGUUCAUUCAAAUUUCUGCCCUAUCAGCUUUCGAUGGUAGGAUAGAGGCCUACCAUGGCGUUAACGGGUAACGGGGAAUUAGGGUUCGAUUCCGGAGAGGGAGCCUGAGAGAUGGCUACCACAUCCAAGGAAGGCAGCAGGCGCGUAAAUUGCCCGAAUCCUGACACAGGGAGGUAGUGACAAGAAAUAACAAUACAGGGCCAUCUUGGUCUUGUAAUUGGAAUGAGUACAAUUUACAUCUCUUCACGAGGAUCAAUUGGAGGGCAAGUCUGGUGCCAGCAGCCGCGGUAAUUCCAGCUCCAAUAGCGUAUAUUAAAGUUGUUGCAGUUAAAACGCUCGUAGUCGGAUUUCGGGUCGGUUGCGCCGGUCUGCCGAUGGGUAUGCACUGGCGGAGUCGGCCUUUCUUCCGGAGACCGCGCCUCCUCUUAGCUGAGCGGGUGCGGGAGACGGAUCGUUUACUUUGAAAAAAUCAGAGUGUUUCAAGCAGGCAGCUCGCUCUUGCAUGGAUUAGCAUGGGAUAAUGAAAUAGGACUCUGGUGCUAUUUUGUUGGUUUCGAACACCGGAGUAAUGGUCAACAGGGACAGUCAGGGGCACUCGUAUUCCGCCGAGAGAGGUGAAAUUCUCAGACCAGCGGAAGACGAACCACUGCG
This 946-nucleotide ribosomal RNA is filed under the name Chrysotila carterae. Its description in RNAcentral is "partial Eukaryotic small subunit ribosomal RNA". It matches the Rfam family "Eukaryotic small subunit ribosomal RNA", at positions 1 to 947 of the family's 1831-position model. The record is from RNAcentral. Lineage: Eukaryota; Haptophyta; Isochrysidales; Isochrysidaceae.